AUAUUUUGAUAUGGUCUCUCCCAAUCCAGCCAUUCCUCAGACCAGGUGGCUCCUGAGCCACCCCAGACUGUAGGAUGGGCGUGAAAGGUGCUAGAGAGUCACAAAACUGA
Chlorocebus sabaeus (green monkey) is the source of this 110-nucleotide microRNA precursor. The record is from Ensembl. Lineage: Eukaryota; Metazoa; Chordata; Mammalia; Primates; Cercopithecidae.